This is a non-coding RNA of Polyporus arcularius HHB13444, 82 nucleotides long. The record is from the annotation of a GenBank genome assembly. Lineage: Eukaryota; Fungi; Basidiomycota; Agaricomycetes; Polyporales; Polyporaceae.
AGCCCUCCUGGCUUAGUUGGUAGACCACUUAGAAGCUGUGCCGCUGCACGUCGUGGUCGCAGGUUCGAUUCCUGCAGGGCUG